GAUGAACGCUGACAGAAUGCUUAACACAUGCAAGUCAACUUGAACUUCGGUUUGGGUGGCGGACGGGUGAGUAACGCGUAAAGAACUUGCCUCACAGCUAGGGACAACAUUUGGAAACGAAUGCUAAUACCUGAUAUUAUGAUUUUAGGGCAUCCUAGAAUUAUGAAAGCUAUAUGCGCUGUGAGAGAGCUUUGCGUCCCAUUAGCUAGUUGGAGAGGUAACGGCUCACCAAGGCGAUGAUGGGUAGCCGGCCUGAGAGGGUGAUCGGCCACAAGGGGACUGAGACACGGCCCUUACUCCUACGGGAGGCAGCAGUGGGGAAUAUUGGACAAUGGACCAAGAGUCUGAUCCAGCAAUUCUGUGUGCACGAUGAAGUUUUUCGGAAUGUAAAGUGCUUUCAGUUGGGAAGAAAAAAAUGACGGUACCAACAGAAGAAGUGACGGCUAAAUACGUGCCAGCAGCCGCGGUAAUACGUAUGUCACAAGCGUUAUCCGGAUUUAUUGGGCGUAAAGCGCGUCUAGGUGGUUAUAUAAGUCUGAUGUGAAAAUGCAGGGCUCAACUCUGUAUUGCGUUGGAAACUGUGUAACUAGAGUACUGGAGAGGUAAGCGGAACUACAAGUGUAGAGGUGAAAAUUCGUAGAUAUUUGUAGGAAUGCCGAUGGGGAAGCCAGCUUGCUGGACAGAUACUGACGCUGAAGCGCGAAAGCGUGGGGUAGCAAACAGG
RNAcentral lists this ribosomal RNA (724 nucleotides) under uncultured Fusobacterium sp. Its description in RNAcentral is "bacterial SSU rRNA". It matches the Rfam family "Bacterial small subunit ribosomal RNA", at positions 28 to 776 of the family's 1533-position model. The record is from RNAcentral. Lineage: Bacteria; Fusobacteriati; Fusobacteriota; Fusobacteriia; Fusobacteriales; Fusobacteriaceae.